Molecule: ribosomal RNA, 501 nt
Filed under: uncultured bacterium
Lineage: Bacteria
Description: partial 16S ribosomal RNA
Rfam family: Bacterial small subunit ribosomal RNA
Source: RNAcentral
AUUGAACGCUGGCGGCAGGCUUAACACAUGCAAGUCGAGCGGAGAUGAGGUGCUCGCACCUUAUCUUAGCGGCGGACGGGUGAGUAAUGAUUAGGAAUCUGCCAUUUAGUGGGGGACAACAUUCCGAAAGGAAUGCUAAUACCGCAUACGUCCUACGGGAGAAAGCAGGGGAUCUUCGGACCUUGCGCUAAAUGAUGAGCCUAAGUCGGAUUAGCUAGUUGGUGGGGUAAAGGCCUACCAAGGCGACGAUCUGUAGCGGGUCUGAGAGGAUGAUCCGCCACACUGGGACUGAGACACGGCCCAGACUCCUACGGGCGGCAGCAGUUGGGAAUAUUGGACAAUUGGCGGAAGCCUGAUCCAGCCAUGCCGCGUGUGUGAAGAAGGCCUUUUGGUUGUAAAGCACUUUAAGCGAGGAGGAGGCUACUAGUACUAAUACUACUGGAUAGUGGACGUUACUCGCAGAAUAAGCACCGGCUAACUCUGUGCCAGCCGCCGCCGUAA